AUUGAACGCUGGCGGCAUGCUUUACACAUGCAAGUCGAACGGUAACAGGCCGCAAGGUGCUGACGAGUGGCGCACGGGUGAGUAAUGCAUCGGAACGUGCCCAGUCGUGGGGGAUAACUACCCGAAAGAGUAGCUAAUACCGCAUACGAUCUAUGGAUGAAAGCGGGGGACCGUAAGGCCUCGCGCGAUUGGAGCGGCCGAUGUCGGAUUAGGUAGUUGGUGGGGUAAAGGCUCACCAAGCCAACGAUCUGUAGCUGGUCUGAGAGGACGACCAGCCACACUGGGACUGAGACACGGCCCAGACUCCUACGGGAGGCAGCAGUGGGGAAUUUUGGACAAUGGGCGCAAGCCUGAUCCAGCAAUGCCGCGUGCAGGAAGAAGGCCUUCGGGUUGUAAACUGCUUUUGUACGGAACGAAACGGCUCUGGUUAAUACCCGGGGCUAAUGACGGUACCGGAAGAAUAAGCACCGGCUAACUACGUG
Molecule: ribosomal RNA, 482 nt
Filed under: uncultured bacterium
Lineage: Bacteria
Description: partial 16S ribosomal RNA
Rfam family: Bacterial small subunit ribosomal RNA
Source: RNAcentral